AUGUUGUCUGGCUCGAGG
RNAcentral lists this microRNA (18 nucleotides) under Prunus persica (peach). Its description in RNAcentral is "microRNA miRNA_340". Lineage: Eukaryota; Viridiplantae; Streptophyta; Magnoliopsida; Rosales; Rosaceae. The record is from RNAcentral.